GGGAGCUUGCUCCCUGAUGUUAGCGGCGGACGGGUGAGUAACACGUGGGUAACCUGCCUGUAAGACUGGGAUAACUCCGGGAAACCGGGGCUAAUACCGGAUGGUUGUCUGAACCGCAUGGUUCAGACAUAAAAGGUGGCUUCGGCUACCACUUACAGAUGGACCCGCGGCGCAUUAGCUAGUUGGUGAGGUAACGGCUCACCAAGGCGACGAUGCGUAGCCGACCUGAGAGGGUGAUCGGCCACACUGGGACUGAGACACGGCCCAGACUCCUACGGGAGGCAGCAGUAGGGAAUCUUCCGCAAUGGACGAAAGUCUGACGGAGCAACGCCGCGUGAGUGAUGAAGGUUUUCGGAUCGUAAAGCUCUGUUGUUAGGGAAGAACAAGUGCCGUUCAAAUAGGGCGGCACCUUGACGGUACCUAACCAGAAAGCCACGGCUAACUACGUGCCAGCAGCCGCGGUAAUACGUAGGUGGCAAGCGUUGUCCGGAAUUAUUGGGCGUAAAGGGCUCGCAGGCGGUUUCUUAAGUCUGAUGUGAAAGCCCCCGGCUCAACCGGGGAGGGUCAUUGGAAACUGGGGAACUUGAGUGCAGAAGAGGAGAGUGGAAUUCCACGUGUAGCGGUGAAAUGCGUAGAGAUGUGGAGGAACACCAGUGGCGAAGGCGACUCUCUGGUCUGUAACUGACGCUGAGGAGCGAAAGCGUGGGGAGCGAACAGGAUUAGAUACCCUGGUAGUCCACGCCGUAAACGAUGAGUGCUAAGUGUUAGGGGGUUUCCGCCCCUUAGUGCUGCAGCUAACGCAUUAAGCACUCCGCCUGGGGAGUACGGUCGCAAGACUGAAACUCAAAGGAAUUGACGGGGGCCCGCACAAGCGGUGGAGCAUGUGGUUUAAUUCGAAGCAACGCGAAGAACCUUACCAGGUCUUGACAUCCUCUGACAAUCCUAGAGAUAGGACGUCCCCUUCGGGGGCAGAGUGACAGGUGGUGCAUGGUUGUCGUCAGCUCGUGUCGUGAGAUGUUGGGUUAAGUCCCGCAACGAGCGCAACCCUUGAUCUUAGUUGCCAGCAUUCAGUUGGGCACUCUAAGGUGACUGCCGGUGACAAACCGGAGGAAGGUGGGGAUGACGUCAAAUCAUCAUGCCCCUUAUGACCUGGGCUACACACGUGCUACAAUGGACAGAACAAAGGGCAGCGAAACCGCGAGGUUAAGCCAAUCCCACAAAUCUGUUCUCAGUUCGGAUCGCAGUCUGCAACUCGACUGCGUGAAGC
Molecule: ribosomal RNA, 1267 nt
Filed under: Bacillus amyloliquefaciens
Lineage: Bacteria; Bacillati; Bacillota; Bacilli; Caryophanales; Bacillaceae
Description: bacterial SSU rRNA
Rfam family: Bacterial small subunit ribosomal RNA
Source: RNAcentral